Molecule: ribosomal RNA, 456 nt
Filed under: Triticum aestivum (bread wheat)
Lineage: Eukaryota; Viridiplantae; Streptophyta; Magnoliopsida; Poales; Poaceae
Description: rRNA SSU_rRNA_eukarya
Rfam family: Bacterial small subunit ribosomal RNA (bases 167-456)
Source: RNAcentral
GAGCUUCUACCCGACCGAUUAGCCCAGAGCACUAAUACGCUUUCUUUCCUCGAACAAGUACCUUUCCUUCGUGGGGGUCUUCUGUUCACUCUGAUGAUUAGGAUGAAGGAAGUAUACAGGGAGGUCUGCCAACCAUUUAAUGAGGAAGGUGGUCUUCAUUUCUCUUGCGUAUGGAAGCUUAAGGUCAUUCCCUGCAUUCCGUUUUUUUGGUGGAACCAAUUCACUUGAGUGAGACAGAGGAGAGUGGAAUUUCGGGUGUAGGGGUGAAAUCCGUAGAUCUACGAAGGAACGCCAAAAGCGAAGGCAACUCUCUGGGUCCCUACCGACGCUGGGGUGCGAAAGCAUGGGGAGCGAACAGGAUUAGAUACCCUGGUAGUCCAUGCCGUAAACAAUGAGUGUUCCCCGUUCGUCGUAAAGGCUAUGAUAUCAGGCUUCCGGGCCACAGGCGCCUGUUCC